Camelus ferus (Wild Bactrian camel) is the source of this 73-nucleotide transfer RNA. It matches the Rfam family "tRNA". Rfam says of the family: Transfer RNA (tRNA) molecules are approximately 80 nucleotides in length. Their secondary structure includes four short double-helical elements and three loops (D, anti-codon, and T loops). Further hydrogen bonds mediate the characteristic L-shaped molecular structure. tRNAs have two regions of fundamental functional importance: the anti-codon, which is responsible for specific mRNA codon recognition, and the 3' end, to which the tRNAs corresponding amino acid is attached (by aminoacyl-tRNA synthetases). tRNAs cope with the degeneracy of the genetic code in two manners: having more than one tRNA (with a specific anti-codon) for a particular amino acid; and 'wobble' base-pairing, i.e. permitting non-standard base-pairing at the 3rd anti-codon position. The record is from Rfam. NCBI's taxonomy places the organism in Eukaryota, Metazoa, Chordata, Mammalia, Artiodactyla, Camelidae.
GAGGGUAUAGCUCAAGUGGUAGGGUGCAUGCUUAGCACACACAAAGGCCUGGGUUCAAUCCCCAGUACCUCUU